AUGGUAAGGCACCUGCCAAAGGUGACCAGGAAUCAGAGCAGGACCUCUUCCCUGCAGGGAGGAUGAAAUGGUCAAAACUACUUUACCAAAGACCAGAGUGAGAUCCGUGGAGAGGAUGAAACUUGCUGGGGUCCCCAAGAGGGUCUGUGACAGACAGACCUGGGCACAG
Molecule: long non-coding RNA, 169 nt
Organism: Dipodomys spectabilis (banner-tailed kangaroo rat)
Lineage: Eukaryota; Metazoa; Chordata; Mammalia; Rodentia; Heteromyidae
Exons: 3
Source: RefSeq, a predicted model, not a curated record